Molecule: transfer-messenger RNA, 397 nt
Filed under: Bacteroidales bacterium
Lineage: Bacteria; Pseudomonadati; Bacteroidota; Bacteroidia; Bacteroidales
Rfam family: transfer-messenger RNA
About the family: Bacterial tmRNA, also known as 10Sa RNA or SsrA, is named for its dual tRNA and mRNA-like properties. Its role is to liberate the mRNA from a stalled ribosome. To accomplish this part of the tmRNA is used as a reading frame that ends in a translation stop signal.
Source: RNAcentral
GGGGGUGACUGGAAUUGACGGGGAGUUGAUUAUUGAUGUAAGCAUGUCGGGCAAUCAAGAUUUUGACCCGUAAAAACAUAUCUUGAAACAAUAACUGGCGAAAAUACUUACGCUCUUGCUGCCUAAUCGAAUCAUAGUAGAUUAACGCUUUACGCUGUUCAAGGAACAGUGGCAGGACAUUCCGCAAAUGGCAAGUCCUUAGUCGUUUGAAUCCGGAGUGCUGUAAUUAAGGAAUAGCGCACAAUGUGUUUGGAGUUGUGCGUAAAAUUUACAAACUAAGGAAAAAGUAGAGUGCCUGUUUUCGGCUUUUUCCCUACAAUCAACAACACGGCUACACAUGUAGAAAGCAUUGGUAAUGCUUGUUCGGACCGGGGUUCGAUUCCCCGCACCUCCACAA